This 465-nucleotide ribosomal RNA is filed under the name uncultured bacterium. RNAcentral describes it as "partial 16S ribosomal RNA". It matches the Rfam family "Bacterial small subunit ribosomal RNA", at positions 338 to 795 of the family's 1533-position model. The record is from RNAcentral.
CCUACGGGAGGCAGCAGUAGGGAAUCUUGCACAAUGGGCGAAAGCCUGAUGGAGCAAUGCCGCGUGGGUGAAGAAGGUCUUCGGAUCGUAAAACCCUGUUGUCAGAGAAGAAGGUGCGGGAGAGUAACUGUUCACGGUUCGACGGUAUCUAACCAGAAAGCCACGGCUAACUACGUGCCAGCAGCCGCGGUAAUACGUAGGGGGCAAGCGUUAUCCGGAUUUAUUGGGCGUAAAGGGAACGCAGGCGGUCUUUUAAGUCUGAUGUGAAAGCCCUCGGCUUAACCUGAGUAGUGCAUUGGAAACUGGCAGACUUGAGUGCAGAAGAGGAGAGUGGAACUCCAUGUGUAGCGGUGAAAUGCGUAGAUAUCUGGAAGAAUACCAGUGGCGAAGGCGGCUCUCUGGUCUGUAACUGACGCUGAGGUUCGAAAGCGUGGGUAGCAAACAGGAUUAGAUACCCGUGUAGUC